Molecule: non-coding RNA, 744 nt
Organism: Chrysemys picta bellii (western painted turtle)
Lineage: Eukaryota; Metazoa; Chordata; Testudines; Emydidae
Source: RefSeq, a predicted model, not a curated record
AGCUGCACGGCAUGGGAAAUGGGCUCUUAACACGCAGAAAACAAAUCACUCUCUGCAGACAGCUGUUCCCUGAGGCACAGAGCCUGGCGGGGUUAGGAAGUCUUUUCCGGAGCCCUAGAAGUCUGUGAGCACUUCGGGCCCUGGGUGGCUUUGGCACAGGAGCUGCGGCUUUCUGGGGGGCAGCUGGACCCCUUGAUUCAGGUGGAGCUGGAAGGAGUAUGCUUCUGAAAGUCAAUCCCGGGCAAAAGCAACGCAGAGCAAUACCCCCUCCAUCCUGAUAUUAGCGCGUUUGUUUUUCUAGGGGAUUCCCUUUCGUCUGUGAUCUGAGGAUCUCCAAGCUUUUGACACACACGAGGCUUCACAAUGUGCUUGGCAGGUGCAGAGAGGAAUAUCACCAUAGCCAUCGCGUCAGUCCACACCACUCUACCCUCAUGGACACAGGAUCCACCCCACGGUCCUGUCCAGCCUUCCCAGCCAGAACACGCUUCCCCCUGCCUGCCUUCGCCCUGGGUGGUGGGAGCGGAGAGAAGCCAGGCAGACCUUGGCUGCGUGUUCCUCCUGGAUCCAUUCACGUCCCAAAGCUCUUCAGGAGGAUCAUAACACGGUGUACAUCGAUGUCAUGCCUUCCAUCCCAUGGGAUUCCCAAGACGGGCUGCAAUAGGUUAUAAGUCACGAUGGCGUUGAGCUUUCUCUGUGUACAUCAAUAUAUAGGUAUAAAUAGUUAGACAGAUAUAUCAGCUUCUU